GCAUAUCAAUAAGCGGAGGAAAAGAAACCAACCGGGAUUGCCUCAGUAACGGCGAGUGAAGCGGCAAGAGCUCAAAUUUGAAAGCUGGCUCCUUCGGGGUCCGCAUUGUAAUUUGCAGAGGAUGCUUCGGGUGCAGCCCCCGUCUAAGUGCCCUGGAACGGGCCGUCAUAGAGGGUGAGAAUCCCGUAUGGGGCGGGGUGUCUGCGUCCGUGUGAAGCUCCUUCGACGAGUCGAGUUGUUUGGGAAUGCAGCUCUAAAUGGGUGGUAAAUUUCAUCUAAAGCUAAAUACUGGCCGGAGACCGAUAGCGCACAAGUAGAGUGAUCGAAAGAUGAAAAGCACUUUGAAAAGAGAGUUAAACAGCACGUGAAAUUGUUGAAAGGGAAGCGCUUGCAACCAGACUCGCUCGCGGGGUUCAGCCGGGCUUCGGCCCGGUGUACUUCCCCGCGGGCGGGCCAGCGUCGGUUUGGGCGGCCGGUCAAAGGCCUCCGGAAUGUAGCGCCCUUCGGGGCGCCUUAUAGCCGGGGGUGCAAUGCGGCCAGCCUGGACCGAGGAACGCGCUUCGGCACGGACGCUGGCAUAAUGGUUGUAAACGACCCGUCUUGAAACACGGACCAAGGAGUCUAACAUCUACGCGAGUGUUCGGGUGUCAAACCCGUACGCGCAGUGAAAGCGAACGGAGGUGGGAGCCCCCUCGCGGGGCGCACCAUCGACCGAUCCUGAUGUCUUCGGAUGGAUUUGAGUACGAGCGUAGCUGUGGGGACCCGAAAGAUGGUGAACUAUGCCUGAAUAGGGCGAAGCCAGAGGAAACUCUGGUGGAGGCUCGCAGCGGUUUCUGACGUGCAAAUCGAUCGUCAAAUUUGGGUAUAGGGGCGAAAGACUAAUCGAACCAUCUGGUAGCUGGUUCCUGCGA
RNAcentral lists this ribosomal RNA (911 nucleotides) under Aspergillus terreus var. terreus. RNAcentral describes it as "LSU rRNA". It matches the Rfam family "Eukaryotic large subunit ribosomal RNA", at positions 38 to 963 of the family's 3401-position model. Lineage: Eukaryota; Fungi; Ascomycota; Eurotiomycetes; Eurotiales; Aspergillaceae. The record is from RNAcentral.